Molecule: unclassified non-coding RNA, 548 nt
Filed under: Hevea brasiliensis (rubber tree)
Lineage: Eukaryota; Viridiplantae; Streptophyta; Magnoliopsida; Malpighiales; Euphorbiaceae
Source: RNAcentral
UAUUCUCUAGACAAUCAGGAAAACAUACUGCAAGCAUAGCCCUAUAUUAGUUUGUUGGUUCGGGGCCACUGGGCUCUUACCGUACUAACAUUUCAAAAUAAAAGCACAGCCUAUGAUUGAUGAUUAGGCAUGGCCCGGCCGCGGCCCCUCCCACCAUAGCUGUAGCCAUAGCUGUACCCCCUUCCAUAAGAUCCACGAGAACGACCACCACGUGGAAACCCACGGCCACCCCUACCUCCCCGAUACCUUGAAAAGUUGCCAAAAGUCUCUGUGUCUAUUUUCAGUUGCUCAGAGAAUUUAGUCCUUCCAUUCUGAGAAUCAUAAUCAAGUGCAUUGCAGGAGAGUGUAUCAAAAAAGUCAUCUUUGUUAUAAACAGGCUUGACUUCAAUAUUGGUUAAUUCAUCAUCAUCUUCAUAUUGAGAAUCUUCUUCAUCGCUGUCUUUUCCAUAUUCUCUGUCCUUCGAAUGAGAUUUGUUACUCUUACCAAGAUGACCCCAUACUUCAUCCUUCUUGAAUUUUUCAUUCAUUGCCAUAAAAUCAAAAUCCUC